GUAUGUGAGAAUAUGCAACAUCUCUGGCCUGAAGGAUUUUCUUCCAAACCCAUGAGCAACCAGAGAUCUCUUCGACUGCCCAGGUGAGCCAGAUAGGCGAGCAGAUCAGGCUCGCGGAUAGAGAGAAUGUUUAGUCACCCUGGUUAUAGGGUGAGUUUUUGGCAGAGAUGUGUUUUUUUUUGGGAUAGAUAAUAUUGGAGUGACAUUUUUGUGUAUGGUUUGUAUAUUCUAGAAUCUGGUAUUGUACAGUUUAUGUAUGAAUGGUUUCAUGAUAUAUGUUUUUGCUGCGUAGGAAUGUUUACUAUAUAUAAAAAAAAGAAAAUGAUAAGAAUUUUGAUAUCGUUA
Long non-coding RNA from Malania oleifera, 345 nucleotides. RefSeq lists it as uncharacterized. The record is from RefSeq and is a predicted model, not a curated record. The transcript is spliced from 2 exons. NCBI's taxonomy places the organism in Eukaryota, Viridiplantae, Streptophyta, Magnoliopsida, Santalales, Ximeniaceae.